AUAGAUCAACUAUUGAGCACUUUCACACAUUGCGGGAUAAACUUCAAAAGGAGUCUGAUCUGUUUGAGUGCUUUGCGCAUACGCACAAAAAGAAGGAUGGUACAUUCGUUGAUGAGAGGUCAAAGAAAACCGCUGACGAAAUAUAAGCACGACAUGAUGCUGCAAUGCAAGAGGCGGAAGGGUCAACUGAGCCACCAGUUAUAGACAUGUCACAGAUGUAUGUGGAUGUUGUUGGUGGGGUAAAAAAAUAGCGUAUUUAUGGCUUAGGGACUAAGUCAUCUGCAUUUAUCAACGGGAAUAGUUGUAGUUCAUUUGCUACUUCACAACUUCAACAAGAGGCAAUGAAGGAGAUGGUGAACCAACAGUUAGAGACCAUGCGAGUUGAGAUGGAAGCUAAACUACAUGCUGAAAGAACUCAAAUGCAAGCUCAAAUUGCAAGUUUGAUGGAUGAGUUGCGUCGCAACGGCAUGC
Molecule: long non-coding RNA, 471 nt
Organism: Ipomoea nil (Japanese morning glory)
Lineage: Eukaryota; Viridiplantae; Streptophyta; Magnoliopsida; Solanales; Convolvulaceae
Exons: 3
Source: RefSeq, a predicted model, not a curated record